RNAcentral lists this long non-coding RNA (3647 nucleotides) under Haliotis rufescens (red abalone). RNAcentral describes it as "uncharacterized LOC125378037, transcript variant X2". The record is from RNAcentral. Lineage: Eukaryota; Metazoa; Mollusca; Gastropoda; Lepetellida; Haliotidae.
GUGUGAGAUAGUGCUAGUGUAAGACUGCUUCGUGCUACAGUGAUGGUAGGUCCUUGUGUGGGGGAGAUAGUGCUAGUGUAAGACUGCUUCAUGAGACCCAGUGAACAAACAGUGGUACUGCUACAGUGAUGGUAGGUCUGUAUGUGGGGGAGAUAGUGCUAGUGUAAGACUGCUUCAUGAGACCCAGUAAACAAAGCAGUGGUACUGCUACAGUGAUGGUAGGUCUGUGUGUGUGGGAGAUAGUGCUAGUGUAAGACUGCUUCGUGCUACAGUGAUGGUAGGUCUGUGUGUGUAUGGGAGAUAGUGCUAGUGUAAGACUGCUUCGUGCUACAGUGAUGGUAGGUCCUUGUGUGGGGGAGAUAGUGCUAGUGUAAGACUGCUUCGUGCUACAGUGAUGGUAGGUCUGUGUGUGUGGGAGAUAGUGCUAGUGUAAGACUGCUUCGUGCUACAGUGAUGGUAGGUCCUUGUGUGGGGGAGAUAGUGCUAGUGUAAGACUGCUUCGUGCUACAGUGAUGGUAGGUCUGUGUGUGUGGGAGAUAGUGCUAGUGUAAGACUGCUUCGUGCUACAGUGAUGGUAGGUCUGUGUGUGUGGGAGAUAGUGCUAGUGUAAGACUGCUUCGUGCUACAGUGAUGGUAGGUCCUUGUGUGUGGGAGAUAGUGCUAGUGUAAGACUGCUUCGUGCUACAGUGAUGGUAGGUCUGUGUGUGUGGGAGAUAGUGCUAGUGUAAGACUGCUUCGUGCUACAGUGAUGGUAGGUCUGUGUAUGUGGGAGAUAGUGCUAGUGUAAGACUGCUUCGUGCUACAGUGAUGGUAGGUCUGUGUGUGUGGGAGAUAGUGCUAGUGUAAGACUGCUUCGUGCUACAGUGAUGGUAGGUCCUUGUGUGGGGGAGAUAGUGCUAGUGUAAGACUGCUUCGUGCUACAGUGAUGGUAGGUCUGUGUGUGUGGGAGAUAGUGCUAGUGUAAGACUGCUUCGUGCUACAGUGAUGGUAGGUCCUUGUGUGGGGGAGAUAGUGCUAGUGUAAGACUGCUUCAUGAGACCCAGUAAACAAAGCAGUGGUACUGCUACAGUGAUGGUAGGUCCUUGUGUGGGGGAGAUAGUGCUAGUGUAAGACUGCUUCGUGCUACAGUGAUGGUAGGUCUGUGUGUGUGGGAGAUAGUGCUAGUGUAAGACUGCUUCGUGCUACAGUGAUGGUAGGUCCUUGUGUGGGGGAGAUAGUGCUAGUGUAAGACUGCUUCGUGCUACAGUGAUGGUAGGUCUGUGUGUGUGGGAGAUAGUGCUAGUGUAAGACUGCUUCGUGCUACAGUGAUGGUAGGUCCUUGUGUGGGGGAGAUAGUGCUAGUGUAAGACUGCUUCGUGCUACAGUGAUGGUAGGUCUGUGUGUGUGGGAGAUAGUGCUAGUGUAAGACUGCUUCGUGCUACAGUGAUGGUAGGUCUGUGUGUGUGGGAGAUAGUGCUAGUGUAAGACUGCUUCGUGCUACAGUGAUGGUAGGUCCUUGUGUGGGGGAGAUAGUGCUAGUGUAAGACUGCUUCGUGCUACAGCGAUGGUAGGUCUGUGUGUGGGGGAGAUAGUGCUAGUGUAAGACUGCUUCGUGCUACAGUGAUGGUAGGUCCUUGUGUGGGGGAGAUAGUGCUAGUAUAAGACUGCUUCGUGCUACAGCGAUGGUAGGUCUGUGUGUGUGGGAGAUAGUGCUAGUGUAAGACUGCUUCGUGCUACAGUGAUAUGGUAGGUCUGUGUGUGGGGGAGAUAGUGCUAGUGUAAGACUGCUUCGUGCUACAGCGAUGGUAGGUCUGUGUGUGUGGGAGAUAGUGCUAGUGUAAGACUGCUUCGUGCUACAGUGAUGGUAGGUCCUUGUGUGGGGGAGAUAGUGCUAGUGUAAGACUGCUUCGUGCUACAGUGAUGGUAGGUCCUUGUGUGGGGGAGAUAGUGCUAGUGUAAGACUGCUUCGUGCUACAGUGAUGGUAGGUCUGUGUGUGUGGGAGAUAGUGCUAGUGUAAGACUGCUUCGUGCUACAGUGAUGGUAGGUCCUUGUGUGGGGGAGAUAGUGCUAGUGUAAGACUGCUUCGUGCUACAGUGAUGGUAGGUCUGUGUGUGUGGGAGAUAGUGCUAGUGUAAGACUGCUUCGUGCUACAGUGAUGGUAGGUCCUUGUGUGUGGGAGAUAGUGCUAGUGUAAGACUGCUUCGUGCUACAGCGAUGGUAGGUCUGUGUGUGUGGGAGAUAGUGCUAGUGUAAGACUGCUUCGUGCUACAGUGAUAUGGUAGGUCUGUGUGUGGGGGAGAUAGUGCUAGUGUAAGACUGCUUCGUGCUACAGCGAUGGUAGGUCUGUGUGUGUGGGAGAUAGUGCUAGUGUAAGACUGCUUCGUGCUACAGUGAUGGUAGGUCCUUGUGUGGGGGAGAUAGUGCUAGUGUAAGACUGCUUCGUGCUACAGUGAUGGUAGGUCUGUGUGUGUGGGAGAUAGUGCUAGUGUAAGACUGCUUCGUGCUACAGUGAUGGUAGGUCCUUGUGUGGGGGAGAUAGUGCUAGUGUAAGACUGCUUCGUGCUACAGUGAUGGUAGGUCUGUGUGUGUGGGAGAUAGUGCUAGUGUAAGACUGCUUCGUGCUACAGUGAUGGUAGGUCCUUGUGUGGGGGAGAUAGUGCUAGUGUAAGACUGCUUCGUGCUACAGUGAUGGUAGGUCUGUGUGUGUGGGAGAUAGUGCUAGUGUAAGACUGCUUCGUGCUACAGUGAUGGUAGGUCUGUGUGUGUGGGAGAUAGUGCUAGUGUAAGACUGCUUCGUGCUACAGUGAUGGUAGGUCCUUGUGUGGGGGAGAUAGUGCUAGUGUAAGACUGCUUCGUGCUACAGUGAUGGUAGGUCUGUGUGUGUGGGAGAUAGUGCUAGUGUAAGACUGCUUCGUGCUACAGUGAUGGUAGGUCCUUGUGUGGGGGAGAUAGUGCUAGUGUAAGACUGCUUCGUGCUACAGUGAUGGUAGGUCUGUGUGUGUGGGAGAUAGUGCUAGUGUAAGACUGCUUCUUGAGACCCAGUAAACAAAGCAGUGGUACUGCUACAGUGAUAUGGUAGGUCUGUGUGUGUGGGAGAUAGUGCUAGUGUAAGACUGCUUCAUGAAACCCAGUAAACAAUGCCACUAUUUCAAUGUCAUCUUGAGUGGUUUUGUAGCAUGGACAAAUAUAUUCCAUAUAGAGUGCUGUUUUGAUAUUGGAAAUGAUUCAAGCCAACAGUUAUUGCUUAAUUGAUGUAGUACCUGCUUUGGACAGUCAAUGUGCUAUUUCAGUGUUGAUUAUCAUUUUUUCUUGCAUAUGAUGUAAUUGAUGUAAUGUUUUGUGCCGAACCGGAUUUGUGUGAACAUGUUUUAUUCCUAUCUAUUACUGAUAUAAUGAACCCCCAAAGUUAACAAGUCUCUUAUUGUGUUUAUGAAUUAUGACAGCAAGUACUUUGCCUGAUGCUGGUUCAACACAAUGUAAUUCACUUGGUCAUGUUGAUGUAUUCUCCUGACUUGUAUCAGCUCCUUGUUUAUUACAUAUCUAAGAGGAUAAUUACGAGAUGACGAGAUGAAUCCAAUAUUUUCCCGAUCUACCUUAACUCAAGUGUGUAUUGUAUGCUUGUGUGUUAUGUAUUCAAGACAUCAGCAGAAACAAAUUCUUUUCUGUG